Molecule: ribosomal RNA, 253 nt
Filed under: uncultured bacterium
Lineage: Bacteria
Description: partial 16S ribosomal RNA
Rfam family: Bacterial small subunit ribosomal RNA
Source: RNAcentral
UACGGAGGAGGCAAGCGUUAUCCGGAAUUAUUGGGCGUAAAGCGUCCGUAGGUGGUUUAGUAAGUCUGCUGUUAAAGCGCGGGGCUUAACUCCGUAUCGGCAGUGGAAACUACUAGACUAGAGUGUGGUAGGGGUAGAGGGAAUUCCCAGUGUAGCGGUGAAAUGCGUAGAUAUGCGGAGGAACACCGAUGGCGAAGGCAAUCCCCUGGGCCUGCACUGACGCUCAUGCACGAAAGCGUGGGGAGCAAACAGG